AGGUGUACGUGCGGAAGGAUCA
This 22-nucleotide ribosomal RNA is filed under the name Cryptococcus neoformans. RNAcentral describes it as "partial 18S ribosomal RNA". Lineage: Eukaryota; Fungi; Basidiomycota; Tremellomycetes; Tremellales; Cryptococcaceae. The record is from RNAcentral.